GUGAACCUGCGGAAGGAUCAUUACCGAGUGUAGGGUUCCUAGCGAGCCCAACCUCCCACCCGUGUUUACUGUACCUUAGUUGCUUCGGCGGGCCCGCCAUUCAUGGCCGCCGGGGGCUCUCAGCCCCGGGCCCGCGCCCGCCGGAGACACCACGAACUCUGUCUGAUCUAGUGAAGUCUGAGUUGAUUGUAUCGCAAUCAGUUAAAACUUUCAACAAUGGAUCUCUUGGUUCCGGCAUCGAUGAAGAACGCAGCGAAAUGCGAUAACUAGUGUGAAUUGCAGAAUUCCGUGAAUCAUCGAGUCUUUGAACGCACAUUGCGCCCCCUGGUAUUCCGGGGGGCAUGCCUGUCCGAGCGUCAUUGCUGCCCAUCAAGCACGGCUUGUGUGUUGGGUCGUCGUCCCCUCUCCGGGGGGGACGGGCCCCAAAGGCAGCGGCGGCACCGCGUCCGAUCCUCGAGCGUAUGGGGCUUUGUCACCCGCUCUGUAGGCCCGGCCGGCGCUUGCCGAACGCAAAUCAAUCUUUUUCCAGGUUGACCUCGGAUCAGGUAGGGAUACCCGCUGA
This 562-nucleotide ribosomal RNA is filed under the name Aspergillus flavus. RNAcentral's name for it is "eukaryotic LSU rRNA". The stretch from base 206 to 359 matches the Rfam family "5.8S ribosomal RNA". Lineage: Eukaryota; Fungi; Ascomycota; Eurotiomycetes; Eurotiales; Aspergillaceae. The record is from RNAcentral.